This is a non-coding RNA of Podarcis lilfordi (Lilford's wall lizard), 77 nucleotides long. NCBI's taxonomy places the organism in Eukaryota, Metazoa, Chordata, Lepidosauria, Squamata, Lacertidae. The record is from the annotation of a GenBank genome assembly.
ACCUACAAAACAGCUCAGCUGGUAAAGAAUGAGACUCUUGAAUCUCAUGGUUGUGGGUUCGAGCCCCACUUUGGGCA